This 497-nucleotide ribosomal RNA is filed under the name uncultured bacterium. RNAcentral's name for it is "partial 16S ribosomal RNA". It matches the Rfam family "Bacterial small subunit ribosomal RNA", at positions 28 to 507 of the family's 1533-position model. The record is from RNAcentral.
GAUGAACGCUGGCGGCGUGCCUAAUACAUGCAAGUCGAGCGAACAGACGAGGAUCUUGCUCCUCUGACGUUAGCGGCGGACGGGUGAGUAACACGUGGAUAACCUACCUAUAAGACUGGGAUAACUUCGGGAAACCGGAGCUAAUACCGGAUAAUAUAUUGAACCGCAUGGUUCAAUAGUGAAAGACGGUUUUGCUGUCACUUAUAGAUGGAUCCGCGCCGCAUUAGCUAGUUGGUAAGGUAACGGCUUACCAAGGCAACGAUGCGUAGCCGACGUGAGAGGGGGUUCGGCCACACUGGAACUGAGACACGGUCCAGACUCCGACGGGAGGCAGCAGUAGGGAAUCUUCCGCAAUGGGCGAAAGCCUGACGGAGCAACGCCGCGUGAGUGAUGAAGGUCUUCGGAUCGUAAAACGCUGUUAUUAGGGAAGAACAAAUGUGUAAGUAACUAUGCACGUCUUGACGGUACCUAAUCAGAAAGCCACGGCUAACUACGUG